UUUUUUUCACAUGUUGCGCUGUAUCUCUAUUGCUUAAAACUUAACAGGCUAAUGUUGCGUCGGGUUUCCAAAUACAUCUUGUACAAUCUUCCUAUUGAGCGGGAAUAAGGAAUGAGUCAGGAUAUACUAAGCAUGACAUCCUGUACAACCCUGUGUUAUUCAAAAAAGAUUUAUGUUUUUUCACAAGACGACGGGCGUAUCAUGCGCUCAUGGCGC
RNAcentral lists this long non-coding RNA (216 nucleotides) under Mytilus galloprovincialis (Mediterranean mussel). The record is from RNAcentral. Lineage: Eukaryota; Metazoa; Mollusca; Bivalvia; Mytilida; Mytilidae.